RNAcentral lists this ribosomal RNA (253 nucleotides) under uncultured bacterium. RNAcentral's name for it is "partial 16S ribosomal RNA". It matches the Rfam family "Archaeal small subunit ribosomal RNA", at positions 474 to 727 of the family's 1478-position model. The record is from RNAcentral.
UACCAGCACCCCGAGUGGUCGGGACGUUUAUUGGGCCUAAAGCAUCCGUAGCCGGUUCUACAAGUCUUCCGUUAAAUCCAACUGCUUAACAGGUGGGCUGCGGAAGAUACUAUAGAGCUAGGAGGCGGGAGAGGCAAGCGGUACUCGAUGGGUAGGGGUAAAAUCCUGUAUCCAUUGAAGACCACCAGUGGCGAAGGCGGCUUACCAGAACGCGCUCGACGGUGAGGGAUGAAAGCUGGGGGGAGCAAACCGG